AGAGUUUGAUCAUGGCUCAGGAUGAACGCUGGCGGCGUGCCUAAUACAUGCAAGUCGAACGCGCAGCGAGAGGUGCUUGCACCUUUCAAGCGAGUGGCGAACGGGUGAGUAACACGUGGAUAACCUGCCUCAAGGCUGGGGAUAACAUUUGGAAACAGAUGCUAAUACCGAAUAAAACUUAGUAUCGCAUGAUAUCAAGUUAAAAGGCGCUACGGCGUCACCUAGAGAUGGAUCCGCGGUGCAUUAGUUAGUUGGUGGGGUAAAGGCUUACCAAGACGAUGAUGCAUAGCCGAGUUGAGAGACUGAUCGGCCACAUUGGGACUGAGACACGGCCCAAACUCCUACGGGAGGCAGCA
RNAcentral lists this ribosomal RNA (356 nucleotides) under uncultured Lactobacillaceae bacterium. RNAcentral's name for it is "bacterial SSU rRNA". It matches the Rfam family "Bacterial small subunit ribosomal RNA", at positions 8 to 353 of the family's 1533-position model. The record is from RNAcentral. Lineage: Bacteria; Bacillati; Bacillota; Bacilli; Lactobacillales; Lactobacillaceae.